Molecule: ribosomal RNA, 352 nt
Filed under: Mychocerus discretus
Lineage: Eukaryota; Metazoa; Arthropoda; Insecta; Coleoptera; Cerylonidae
Description: partial 12S ribosomal RNA
Source: RNAcentral
AAAAAUUGUAUAAAAAAUAAUAAAUUAGUAUAAGUUUAUGUUCUUGAAAAUUAAAAAAUUUGGCGGUAUUUUAGUCUUUUUAGAGGAACCUGUUCUGUAAUUGAUAAUCCACGAUUAAUAUAACUUGGUUUUUAAAUUUAUAUAUCGUCGUGAGUUGAAUAUUUUAGGAGAAUUAUAAUAUUCAAGAUUUAAAAUAAUAAAGAAAUUCAGAUCAAGAUGUAGUUUAUAGAAAAGAAGUAAUGGGUUACAAUAAUUAAAAUUUUUGGAUUAAAAGUUGAAAAAUUUUUAUGAAAUUGGAUUUAAAAGUAAUUUUAAUUUAUAUUUAAAAGAUGAUUAAAGCUCUGAAAUAUGC